ACGCUCGACACCUACUGGAGGCAGCAGUGGGGAAUAUUGGGCAAUGGAGGCAACUCUGACCCAGCAACGCCGCGUGAGUGAUGAAGGUCUUCGGAUUGUAAAACUCUUUAAGUAGGGACGAAGAAAGUGACGGUACCUACAGAAUAAGCCUCGGCUAACUACGUGCUAGCAGCCGCGGUAAUCUGAGGCGGGCUGGCAAGGC
This 202-nucleotide ribosomal RNA is filed under the name uncultured bacterium. RNAcentral describes it as "partial 16S ribosomal RNA". It matches the Rfam family "Bacterial small subunit ribosomal RNA", at positions 328 to 539 of the family's 1533-position model. The record is from RNAcentral.